This 1004-nucleotide long non-coding RNA is filed under the name Salmo salar (Atlantic salmon). Its description in RNAcentral is "lncRNA (ENSSSAG00000090107.1)". Lineage: Eukaryota; Metazoa; Chordata; Actinopteri; Salmoniformes; Salmonidae. The record is from RNAcentral.
GUUGACAUGUCAUCACUUCAUUUUUUUGCGCCUGCGCAUAAAUCUGAGAAGCGUGAGUUUGUCAUUAAUUGUUUAUCUAGACAUAGGAUAGGUUGUGUGAAAAUAUUACUGAUGUUUAACGUUAAAAAUGGACCAAAAGAUUAAUGCUAAACAACAUUUGACAUGUUUGAACGGACGUAAAUAGAUUAUAUUACUAGGUUUUUUUAGCUUUUCUGCGUGAUUUUACACUCCCCCCACCACGUUUUGUGGGAGCAUAAUGAACGCUAAGUACUUGGUGUUAUUUGGACAUAAAUUAUGAACUUUGUCAAAAGAAACCACAUUUGUUCCGGACCUGGGAUGCCUUCCGGACCUGGGAUGCGUGCCUUCUGAUGGAGAUAAUCAAAGUCACGUUUUCAGCUGGUCCUCGUAAUGCUUCGUCAGCCCCCUGUAGACAGCCGGUCACGGUGUAACUGGCCAUACACGAUCUUCUGCAGCGGGCGCUCCUGAGACAUCCUGAAGACAUGCCCGAGCCAGUGCAGUUGGUGUUGGGUGACUGUGGCCUCCAUACUCUUGCAGUUGGUCUUAGCAAGUAUUUCUGUCAUGCCAGGUUGUUUCCUCGCCAUCCUUGAGUGGAGGGACAAAGAGGGUGUCACGACCGUCGUAUGAAUAAUUGGACCAAGGCGCAGUGUGAGUAGAGUUCCACAUUUUAAUGAUAGUGAAACUUCCAAAACAACAAAAAAUAUAACGAUAGUGAAAUAUGUAGCGCACAUAGCCACUCAUACAAAACAAUCUCCCACAUAGCAGGUUGGAAAAACAACACACUAAGUAUGAUCCCCAAUUAGAGGUAACGAUAUUCAGCUGCCUCUAAUUGGGAACGAUACACACACACCAACAUAGAAAUAUAAUACCUAGAAACCCCCCUGGUCACACCCUGAUCUAAAACACCCCAGAGAACCCCAAGGGCUCUCUAUGGUCAGGGUGUGACAGUACCCCCCCAAAGGUGCGGACUCCAACCACAAAACCUG